This 448-nucleotide ribosomal RNA is filed under the name uncultured bacterium. Its description in RNAcentral is "SSU rRNA". It matches the Rfam family "Bacterial small subunit ribosomal RNA", at positions 26 to 518 of the family's 1533-position model. The record is from RNAcentral.
AGGACGAACGCUGGCGGCAGGCUUAACACAUGCAAGUCGAGCGGGCGUAGCAAUACGUCAGCGGCAGACGGGUGAGUAACGCGUGGGAACGUACCUUUUGGUUCGGAACAACACAGGGAAACUUGUGCUAAAUACCGGAUAAGCCCUUACGGGGAAAGAUUUAUCGCCGAAAGAUCGGCCCGCGUCUGAUUAGCUAGUUGGUGAGGUAACGGCUCACCAAGGCGACGAUCAGUAGCUGGGUCUGAGAGGAUGAUCAGCCACAUUGGGACUGAGACACGGCCCAAACUCCUACGGGAGGCAGCAGUGGGAAUAUUGGACAAUGGGCGCAAGCCUGAUCCAGCCAUGCCGCGUGAGUGAUGAAGGCCCUAGGGUUGUAAAGCUCUUUUGUGCGGGAAGAUAAUGACGGUACCGCAAGAAUAAGCCCGGCUAACUUCGUGCCAGCAGCCGC